CACAACUUUCCAGAAAGCAAUCAAAGACCUGCGACAUUAUCUGAAAAUGGCGACCAAAAUUGAUUUUGAAAUUAAAUCUCUAAUAUUACGUCAACUGAUUGCAAUGAUUACAGAACUGAACUGAAGAUACAAAUUUGUAAGAUGGAGACCUAUUGGUGGCACCAAGAUUUGGAACAAUGGUGAUAUAGCUACCUCUUGGAGGUUUGCAAGUCAAACCUUCUGACCUUCACUGUGGUUGUUUAAUUACAGUGUACUGGUAUGUACACAAUGCACUUUGAAUCAUUAAAGGUCUGGUGGUGGCGGGGGUGAGAAAUGUUAACAUUGAGGAACACAUGGGUUUAGAUGCAAAUGGGGAUGUUUAAUUUGUCGAAAAUGUCAAUGUGACCAGGAGGCAGCUGCAAUGCGGUGAUUUCUGUGUUUAAUUUGGCCACAUUUGGCUUGUAUCUGUAUCCUCCUUCAGCAAGGUGGUGUGUCAAUUUAAAUCAGUGUAUUGAAAUAGUAUUUUAACAGGCAUUUAAAUUUAAUUGCACCUGCAUGGAUUCCCUGGGCUCCAUGAAACUCACCAAUGAAACCAAGGUGCAAAGAGAAUGGUAAUUAUUAUGGGGCUUAUUAAAAGCCAUACAUGCAACAGCAAUAAAUAUGGAGAGCUCAUUGCCGCAUUCUAAUCUCCCAAUAGGAAAGGAUUUGUUGAGAAUACUUGUGGCGAGAGGUUAAUUUGUGCACUUUGGAGAUACUAAGUUCAGGAUGGAUGAAGCUAUGACUGUCUUAGAUUAGACCUCAGAUGAUGAGCAAGAUGACCAUCAACAGCAGCCAAAGCAACAAUAGCAUGCAGGUGAUCAGCAGAGCAGGGAGCAACAGAGGGGAUGAACUCACAUGAGGCACUAUCAGUGUAACCGGGUGUUCAGGUGAAGGGUAGGCUUCCUUACACCCUGGAAGACCUCUACUCUCGGAAGCUGAGGUUGUCAUAUCAGGUGGAGUCAGGCAUCUGCAGUCUCCUAAAUGUACAUCUGUUGGCAACACGUUACCAGUGGCUGUGAGAGUGAUCACUGUUCUCAACUUAUUUGCUUCCAAAAUAGAUUUUAAAUUUAAAUGGCAAGCCAGCAGGUUUACCAAGGCACCCACUCAACAGUGGAAUUCCAAAGGCUUCCCUCCACUUUUGGUUACUGGACACUGCAGACUUCUGCAAAAGUGGUUGGAGGCAUCCCCAAGGCUGUUUUACGUGGUCCUCUUAGAUCUUACAUGACCCCACAACAUACCUUUCCAUUCUCUUUAUAUAUGUUUCUCUCUCUUUAAUCUGUAAGUUCCAUUGUUCUAUAUAUCUUUGGAAGUUUACUUUUCCCAUAAUAUAAAAAUCUUUCAUGUUGCCAAUAUGGUCAGUACCUUUGGAAAAAUAAACCCCUGCUUGGCCUUACUUAUCUUGUUAGUUGUAAACAUCCUAUCAUCCCUUUGAAACCUAAACAACUCUUGCCCUUCACUUAUCGAAAAAUGCAAAUUUCCUUCACACCCAACAUGCUCAGCCUUCAUCCAUGUUUCCUCAUUAGCAUUUCAAAUGCUUUUUACCCCUAACUUGUUUUGAUAAUUUCAAGCUUUCAGUCUAUCUGACUCUAAUUCAAUUAAAUCAGCAAUACAGAUGCUGACACCCAUAAGCCUACUUUACAAUAAACCACAAUAAUAUCAUGAAAAAAAUAUUAGUUUCAUGACAAAUUGCUCCACCAAUGCCAUGCCAGACUUGGUCAUCAGGAGAGAAAGCAACAGGUUGGGUACUGAUUGUAGUGGAGGUGGGUCAACAUGUACCACCUCUCGUUCUCUCUCUAUCCCUUGAAAUCUCUGUUAUCUUCUACUGCAAUGAUGGAAUGAACAGGCCAAUGAAUAGCGGCAUGGCAUAUCUGCAGUUUGGUGAGUGUGACUACUGAGGACAAGAAUUGAACUGUGUAACGCUCAGGGGUGAGUGGCAGUGCUGAAUUGAUACAUAGGGAUUUGACAAAGUCCAUAGAAAUGCAACAAGAGGCAAAUGUGUGUAAAGAGUUAUGAAAUAGGUUUGACAAGGCAGAGUGAGGGGGUGGAAGGGUGUGGUGUGUGGAGAAUAAAUUGUGCAACUCUCCAUUCCUGACAUGAUUAGGUCAUUAAAGCACUUCUUGCACUGCAUCCAGGAAACUGACUGAGUGAGUUGGAUUUUCCUGGCAUCCUGGAGACAGGGAUGGAGGAAGGGAGCUAGGAAAAUAGCGGGGAGACACAUAAGGACGGCUUCCAAUGCAUUCCCUCAUGGAAUGUUACUCUGGGGGACUCCCGCAUGUGGGCUAGCAGCCAAUUAGUCCAAUUAAGGUCCCACGUAGGGGUUUUUUUUAAUGGCGUUGAAGUAGCCCCCCAUGUUAUGCUGAGGCUUCCAGUUCAAUUGAAGCGUCCUCCCAGCAGCAGAUCAGUGGGCCAGCGGAGAGGCUCCACUCUCCCUACUGAUGGGGCCAUGAUGAAAGGCUGCACUCGUGGCCAUGCCCAAUCCCGCAGACGGUUACCCCUCCAUCCCAAUGUUCUUUUUGGCAGCAGGAGUCUUCACUGCAGCCCUUCUAUUUUGGCCAGCGAGGGGUGUCUCCAUGUUGAGGCAUCUUCAUGGUCCCUGACCUGCCUCACAGCAUGAACCUCUCUCAGUGGGGCUGCUGAGACUCCAGAGCUGCCAGCUCUCUGAUUGGGCCAGCAACAUUGGGAGUCCAUCUACCAUCCUUAAUAGGAUGGUGAAGGUCGAGGCAGUAAAUUAGGACCCUGCAUUCUGGAAGAUUGUGCUGCCAAUCUCGCUGCUGUCGUGCCGACUUGAGACCCAUUUGGCCCCAACUUUGGGGUUUCAAAGCCUGUAGGAAAAUCCAGGCCAAUGGCCACCUCCAACCACACUUGUUUUCUUUGUUACAGCAAUAUGUUUCUUACCAGCAUUGCUGGGGAAUUGUAUCUUUCUCCCACUCCUCACUGCACCCACAGUGCAUCAAGCAAUACUUCAAUAAAUUGUGAUGCGGUCCUUGACUGUCCUGAAUCCAUGAUGAAGCUUAUCCCUCUCUUUGUUCAAACUCCUGACACUUCAAAAUUCUGUCUUUGGAUUGGCCUUUUAAAUACCCCAGUUGAUUGUGUCAUCUGUCAGCAGGUAAAAUUACAGCGGGAAAAUUACAAUUGGGUGGCUGCAUUAAAAUGCUACAGACACACACAUUGUAAGUUUUCCUGAUGCUGAUAUUGCACCUCUGCCUCUACUCCAAACCAGCUUCGAGUUAAUAUUGGAGCCCAGGUCUCUCUGAAGUAACUUCUUUAUGUUCAUAUUUCAGAUAAAGCAACAUUUACUGUAUUUGAUACAUCAUUAUGAUUGGUUAAAAUUGAUUUUGUGCGUGAAGUUAUGUGUUCAGAUCAUUUAAUUUUAUAUUGCGUAGUUUUAUUUAGUUUGAUGACCUAUGCACUUUUGCACUGAUGAUAUUUAAUUUUAUCUU
Carcharodon carcharias (great white shark) is the source of this 3458-nucleotide long non-coding RNA. RefSeq lists it as uncharacterized. The transcript is spliced from 3 exons. Lineage: Eukaryota; Metazoa; Chordata; Chondrichthyes; Lamniformes; Lamnidae. The record is from RefSeq and is a predicted model, not a curated record.